ACGAGUUAGGGUCUUCUAGGCCUGAUCUCCCAACCCUUUGUUUACUUGACCAUUGUUGCUUCGGCGAGCCCGUCCUCAUGGACCGCUGGGGGACCGUGCUAGGUCUCCUGGCCCGCGCUCGUCGGCAGCCAACCCUUUAAAUCCUUAACUAAACGUGUUUUAUAUCUGAGUACUAUAUUUAAUUAAAAGCA
This 191-nucleotide unclassified non-coding RNA is filed under the name uncultured fungus. RNAcentral's name for it is "sequence contains ITS1, 5.8S rRNA gene". Lineage: Eukaryota; Fungi. The record is from RNAcentral. RNAcentral also lists the same sequence under 1 other name.